CCUACGGGUGGCUGCAGUGGGGAAUAUUGGGCAAUGGGCGCAAGCCUGACCCAGCAACGCCGCGUGAAGGAAGAAGGCUUUCGGGUUGUAAACUUCUUUUCUCAGGGACGAGCAGAGUGACGUUACCUGUGGAAUAGGCCCCGGCUAACUACGUGCAGGCAGCCGGGGUAAUACGUAGGUGGCAAGCGUGAUCCGGAUUUAUUGGGGGUAAAGGGCGUGUAGGCGGGAGGGCAAGUCAGAUGUGAAAACUCCGGGCUCAACCCUGAGCCUGCAUUUGAAACUGUGUUUCUUGAGUGCUGGAGAGGCAAUCGGAAUUCCGUGUGUAGCGGUGAAAUGCGUAGAUAUACGGAGGAACACCAGUGGCGAAGGCGGAUUGCUGGACAGUAACUGACGCUGAGGCGCGAAAGCGUGGGGAGCAAACAGGAUUAGAUACCCGGGUAGUC
This 443-nucleotide ribosomal RNA is filed under the name uncultured bacterium. RNAcentral describes it as "partial 16S ribosomal RNA". It matches the Rfam family "Bacterial small subunit ribosomal RNA", at positions 338 to 795 of the family's 1533-position model. The record is from RNAcentral.